CCCUACGGGGCGCAGCAGGCGCGAAACCUCCGCAAUGUGAGAAAUCGCGACGGGGGGAUCCCAAGUGCCAUUCUUAACGGGAUGGCUUUUCAUUAGUGUAAAGAGCUUUUGGAAUAAGAGCUGGGCAAGACCGGUGCCAGCCGCCGCGGUAACACCGGCAGCUCUAGUGGUAGCAGUUUUUAUUGGGCCUAAAGCGUCCGUAGCCGGUUUAAUAAGUCUCUGGUGAAAUCUUGCAGCUUAACUGUGGGAAUUGCUGGAGAUACUAUUAGGCUGAGAUCGGAGAGUAGAGA
This 290-nucleotide ribosomal RNA is filed under the name uncultured Methanobrevibacter sp. RNAcentral's name for it is "partial 16S ribosomal RNA". It matches the Rfam family "Archaeal small subunit ribosomal RNA", at positions 321 to 611 of the family's 1478-position model. The record is from RNAcentral. Lineage: Archaea; Methanobacteriati; Methanobacteriota; Methanobacteria; Methanobacteriales; Methanobacteriaceae.